Non-coding RNA from Vicia faba (fava bean), 267 nucleotides. The record is from the annotation of a GenBank genome assembly. NCBI's taxonomy places the organism in Eukaryota, Viridiplantae, Streptophyta, Magnoliopsida, Fabales, Fabaceae.
AUGAAGCAAAAGGGACAUCUCAACCUCAGUUCUCGGGGAAGCAAAGGUAUAUUGGGAGACUAUUCUCAUAUCUAUAUUUAUGAGAAUCGAGGCAUUGCAAGUAUAGGCGAGACAAAAUCUAAAACAGUUAGAAACAUUGAAGAAGGAACCUCGGACUUUGAUUUGAUCAAGGCUACCAGUCAAAUAUCAAAAGAGGAAGCUCAUUUAUUCGAUCACAAGUCUCAUUUGUUUGGAAAAUCCUUAUGGAAACAAAAGCAGAUUCUUUGA